CCCCGCUGGGCACUGCUUCACGGCGUGCGCGGCGGGGCCGGCCCUGCUGAAUUAUUCACCCGUGUCUUUUGCGUACUUCUUGUUUCCUGGGUGGGCUCGCCCGCCCUCAGGACCAACCACAAACCUUUUGCAAUAGCAAUCAGCGUCAGUAACAACGUAAUUAAUUACAACUUUCAACAACGGAUCUCUUGGUUCUGGCAUCGAUGAAGAACGCAGCGAAAUGCGAUACGUAGUGUGAAUUGCAGAAUUCAGUGAAUCAUCGAAUCUUUGAACGCACAUUGCGCCCUUUGGUAUUCCAAAGGGCAUGCCUGUUCGAGCGUCAUUUGUACCCUCAAGCUUUGCUUGGUGUUGGGCGUCUUUUGUCUCCAGUUCGCUGGAGACUCGCCUUAAAGUCAUUGGCAGCCGGCCUACUGGUUUCGGAGCGCAGCACAAGUCGCGCUCUUCGCCAGCCAAGGUCAGCGUCCAGCAAGCCUUUUUUUCAACCUUUGACCUCGGAUCAGGUAGGGAUACCCGCUGAACUUAAGCAUAUCAAUAAGCCGGAGGA
RNAcentral lists this ribosomal RNA (544 nucleotides) under Alternaria triticina. Its description in RNAcentral is "eukaryotic LSU rRNA". The stretch from base 169 to 322 matches the Rfam family "5.8S ribosomal RNA". The record is from RNAcentral. Lineage: Eukaryota; Fungi; Ascomycota; Dothideomycetes; Pleosporales; Pleosporaceae.